GGUUAAGCGACUAAGCGUACACGGUGGAUGCCCUGGCAGUCAGAGGCGAUGAAGGACGUGCUAAUCUGCGAAAAGCGCCGGCGAGGUGAUAUGAACCUUUGACCCGGCGAUGUCCGAAUGGGGAAACCCAGUGCAAUUCGUUGCACUAUCGUUAACUGAAUACAUAGGUUAACGAGGCGAACCGGGGGAACUGAAACAUCUAAGUACCCCGAGGAAAAGAAAUCAACCGAGAUUCCCCCAGUAGCGGCGAGCGAACGGGGAGGAGCCCAGAGUCUGAAUCAGUUUGUGUGUUAGUGGAAGCGUCUGGAAAGUCGCACGAUACAGGGUGAAAGUCCCGUACACGAAAGCACACAGGCUGUGAACUCGAAGAGUAGGGCGGGACACGUGGUAUCCUGUCUGAAUAUGGGGGGACCAUCCUCCAAGGCUAAAUACUCCUGACUGACCGAUAGUGAACCAGUACCGUGAGGGAAAGGCGAAAAGAACCCCGGCGAGGGGAGUGAAAAAGAACCUGAAACCGUGUACGUACAAGCAGUGGGAGCCCCACCACUAAGCCAGUGGUGAGUCCACGUCAGCAUCCUUUGCCGAAGGUAAGGUUAACGGAGCGCAAGCGACGUUCAACCUCAAAAGAAGCAGAGGGGGCUUAGUGGUGGGGUGACUGCGUACCUUUUGUAUAAUGGGUCAGCGACUUAUAUUCUGUAGCAAGGUUAACCGAAUAGGGGAGCCGAAGGGAAACCGAGUCUUAACUGGGCGUUAAGU
Molecule: ribosomal RNA, 756 nt
Filed under: Pluralibacter gergoviae
Lineage: Bacteria; Pseudomonadati; Pseudomonadota; Gammaproteobacteria; Enterobacterales; Enterobacteriaceae
Description: partial 23S ribosomal RNA
Rfam family: Bacterial large subunit ribosomal RNA
Source: RNAcentral